GACGAACGCUGGCGGCGUGCUUAACACAUGCAAGUCGAACGGAAAGGCCCUGCUUUUGUGGGGUGCUCGAGUGGCGAACGGGUGAGUAACACGUGAGUAACCUGCCCUUGACUUUGGGAUAACUUCAGGAAACUGGGGCUAAUACCGGAUAGGAGCUCCUGCUGCAUGGUGGGGGUUGGAAAGUUUCGGCGGUUGGGGAUGGACUCGCGGCUUAUCAGCUUGUUGGUGGGGUAGUUGCUUACCAAGGCUUUGACGGGUAGCCGGCCUGAGAGGGUGACCGGCCACAUUGGGCCUGAGAUACGGCCCAGACUCCUACGGGAGGCAGCAGUGGGAAAUAUUGCACAAUGGGCGGAAGCCUGAUGCAGCAACGCCGCGUGCGGGAUGACGGCCUUCGGGUUGUAAACCGCUUUCGCCUGUGACGAAGCGUGAGUGACGGUAAUGGGUAAAGAAGCACCGGCUAACUACGUG
This 468-nucleotide ribosomal RNA is filed under the name uncultured bacterium. Its description in RNAcentral is "partial 16S ribosomal RNA". It matches the Rfam family "Bacterial small subunit ribosomal RNA", at positions 28 to 507 of the family's 1533-position model. The record is from RNAcentral.